UACGGGGGGGGCAAGCGUUGUUCGGAAUUACUGGGCGUAAAGGGCUCGUAGGUGGCCAACUAAGUCAGACGUGAAAUCCCUCGGCUUAACCGGGGAACUGCGUCUGAUACUGGAUGGCUUGAGUUUGGGAGAGGGAUGCGGAAUUCCAGGUGUAGCGGUGAAAUGCGUAGAUAUCUGGAGGAACACCGGUGGCGAAGGCGGCAUCCUGGACCGGUAUUGACGCUGAGGCGCGAAAGCCAGGGGAGCAAACGGG
Molecule: ribosomal RNA, 253 nt
Filed under: uncultured bacterium
Lineage: Bacteria
Description: partial 16S ribosomal RNA
Rfam family: Bacterial small subunit ribosomal RNA
Source: RNAcentral